Lycium barbarum (goji berry) is the source of this 458-nucleotide long non-coding RNA. RefSeq lists it as uncharacterized. The transcript has 3 exons. The record is from RefSeq and is a predicted model, not a curated record. Lineage: Eukaryota; Viridiplantae; Streptophyta; Magnoliopsida; Solanales; Solanaceae.
CUCCGUUAAGGUACUGUGGCGGAAUAAUAACCGGGAGGAAAUGACCUGGGAGUCUGAGGAAGAAAUGAAGAAGAAAUAUCCUCAAUUGUUCCCUAUGCCCACAGUUGGAUUGGAGUGGGGAGCAUUAGAAUCACCAAAGUGAUCAUAUUUCCAAGUGAAGAAGACUUGAAGAAAAGUUUUUCGACGAAACGGGAAGUGAGUUUGGAAAGGCUUAAGGAGCGUGAAAGGUAUGUAAAGCAAACCCAAUUCUUCCCUUGGCAUGCCCUUAGUGUAUUAGGGUCGGAUCCGGGCCUCGAAGGACCUCUUGGCCCUCGGAAUCCGCAAGACAAAAUUUCAGUUUUUCCUUCAGUAGAAUUGAACCAUUUUGAUACGUUUUUUCUGAAAUUAUGCAAUUGUGCUCUAAAUUACUCAGAAAGUCAUAGGAUGUCUGUAUAACCUUCGUAGAUGAUAUUAUAUGU